GACGAACGCUGGCGGCGUGCCUAAUACAUGCAAGUUGAGCGCUGAAGGUUGGUACUUGUACCAACUGGAUGAGCAGCGAACGGGUGAGUAACGCGUGGGGAAUCUGCCUUUGAGCGGGGGACAACAUUUGGAAACGAAUGCUAAUACCGCAAAAAAACUUUAAACACAAGUUUUAAGUUUGAAAGAUGCAAUUGCAUCACUCAAAGAUGAUCCCGCGUUGUAUUAGCUAGUUGGUGAGGUAAAGGCUCACCAAGGCGAUGAUACAUAGCCGACCUGGGAGGGUGAUCGGCCACAUUGGGACUGAGACACGGCCCAAACUCCUACGGGAGGCAGCAGUAGGGAAUCUUCGGCAAUGGACGAAAGUCUGACCGAGCAACGCCGCGUGAGUGAAGAAGGUUUUCGGAUCGUAAAACUCUGUUGGUAGAGAAGAACGUUGGUGAGAGUGGAAAGCUCAUCAAGUGACGGUAACUACCCAGAAAGGGACGGCUAACUACGUG
This 497-nucleotide ribosomal RNA is filed under the name uncultured bacterium. Its description in RNAcentral is "partial 16S ribosomal RNA". It matches the Rfam family "Bacterial small subunit ribosomal RNA", at positions 28 to 507 of the family's 1533-position model. The record is from RNAcentral.